Molecule: ribosomal RNA, 483 nt
Filed under: uncultured bacterium
Lineage: Bacteria
Description: bacterial SSU rRNA
Rfam family: Bacterial small subunit ribosomal RNA
Source: RNAcentral
AGUUUGAUCCUGGCUCAGAAUCAACGCUGGCGGCGUGCCUCAGACAUGCAAGUCGAACGAUUAAAGCUCUCUUCGGAGAGUGUAUAGAGUGGCGCACGGGUGAGUAACACGUAAGUAAUCUACCCUCGAGUGGGGAAUAACAACCGGAAACGGUUGCUAAUACCGCAUAAUGCAGCGGCACCGCAAGGCGACAGUUGUUAAAGAUUUAUCGCUUGAGGAGGAGCUUGCGGCAGAUUAGCUAGUUGGUAGGGUAACGGCUUACCAAGGCUACGAUCUGUAACCGGUCUAAGAGGACGGUCGGUCACACUGACACUGAAUAACGGGUCAGACUCCUACGGGAGGCAGCAGUCGGGAAUUUUGGGCAAUGGGCGAAAGCCUGACCCAGCAACGCCGCGUGAAGGAUGAAGUAUUUCGGUAUGUAAACUUCGAAAGAAUAGGAAGAAUUAAUGACGGUACUAUUUAUAAGGUCCGGCUAACUACGUG